This 498-nucleotide ribosomal RNA is filed under the name uncultured bacterium. Its description in RNAcentral is "partial 16S ribosomal RNA". It matches the Rfam family "Bacterial small subunit ribosomal RNA", at positions 28 to 507 of the family's 1533-position model. The record is from RNAcentral.
GACGAACGCUGGCGGCGUGCCUAAUACAUGCAAGUCGAACGAGCGCAACCGGUGCUUGCACUGGUCAAUCUAGUGGCGAACGGGUGAGUAACACGUGGGUAACCUGCCCAUCAGAGGGGGAUAACAUCCGGAAACGGAUGCUAAAACCGCAUAGGUCUUCGCACCGCAUGGUUUGAAGAGGAAAAGAGGCGCAAGCUUCUGCUGACGGAUGGACCCGCGGUGCAUUAGCUAUUUGGUGAGGUAACGGCUCACCAAGGCCGUGAUGCAUAGCCGACCUGAGAGGGUGAUCAGCCACAGUGGGACUGAGACACGGCCCAAACUCCUACGGGAGGCAGCAGUAGGGAAUCUUCCGCAAUGGACGCAAGUCUGACGGAGCAACGCCGCGUGAGUGAAGAAGGUUUUCGGAUCGUAAAACUCUGUUGUUAGAGAAGAACAAGUGCUAGAGUAACUGUUAGCGCCUUGACGGUAUCUAACCAGAAAGCCACGGCUAACUACGUG